This 309-nucleotide unclassified non-coding RNA is filed under the name Basidiomycota sp. Its description in RNAcentral is "partial contains small subunit ribosomal RNA, internal transcribed spacer 1, and 5.8S ribosomal RNA". The stretch from base 1 to 47 matches the Rfam family "Eukaryotic small subunit ribosomal RNA", at positions 1785 to 1831 of the family's 1831-position model. Lineage: Eukaryota; Fungi; Basidiomycota. The record is from RNAcentral.
AAAGUCGUAACAAGGUUUCCGUAGGUGAACCUGCGGAAGGAUCAUCACUGAUUCUUGGGUGUUGUGUGUUGUGCGUGUGUGUUUUUCACGCACGCGCCGCCACCGCCCCAACCAAUCUUUUGUGCACGGUUUCACGGUCAACGAGGCGCCGCGCGUGUGUUGGCGAGUCAGUCCCCCCAGUGGGGGGUGGUGACUUGCCAACCGCAUGCGUCCGUGCGUUCUCUGCUUGCAAUCUCUUGUGCAAUUUCCUGUCUAACGUUACCUAAAUUAACACACAUACAACUUUCAACAAUGGAUCUCUUGGCUCUC